Molecule: ribosomal RNA, 98 nt
Filed under: Paludibacteraceae bacterium
Lineage: Bacteria; Pseudomonadati; Bacteroidota; Bacteroidia; Bacteroidales; Paludibacteraceae
Source: RNAcentral
AGCGUUGGGGUUCCACCUCUUCCCAUUCCGAACAGAGAAGUUAAGCCCAAUUGCGCCGAUGGUAGUGCGUAUAGUGUGAGAGUAGGUAGCCGCCGUUU